GGUUGGGUGGGUAUUGGGCCUGCGGCUUAACAGCUGAGGAAAGUCUGCCCACCAACAAAAAGGCGGCUCGCAAGAGAUCCAGCAAUGGAUGGCUCCAUCACAGAAACGCGACCGUGAGUGAGGAGGAUGAUGCGUGAAACUCGAGGCGACUUGGGCAAACGCGCGGACGCUCUCACCUGCUUGGCUGAAACGGAUAGCCCCCGCCGGUGCAAGCAUCUUUGUAUGCGCUAAGUAGAAUGCCCAAACAGCCUGUCCCGGCUUUUCAAAAAAGCCACCCUUGAUUCGAAGGGGAGGAGGCUGACAAAAGGCAGCUUACUCCCACCCAACC
This 328-nucleotide RNase P RNA is filed under the name Candidatus Woesearchaeota archaeon. RNAcentral describes it as "RNase P RNA component". It matches the Rfam family "Archaeal RNase P". From Rfam's summary of the family: Ribonuclease P (RNase P) is a ubiquitous endoribonuclease, found in archaea, bacteria and eukarya as well as chloroplasts and mitochondria. Lineage: Archaea; Nanobdellati; Candidatus Woesearchaeota. The record is from RNAcentral.